This 440-nucleotide ribosomal RNA is filed under the name uncultured bacterium. RNAcentral's name for it is "partial 16S ribosomal RNA". It matches the Rfam family "Bacterial small subunit ribosomal RNA", at positions 338 to 795 of the family's 1533-position model. The record is from RNAcentral.
CCUACGGGGGACAGCAGUAGGGAAUAUUGCUCAAUGGGGGAAACCCUGAAGCAGCCACGCAGCGUGGAGGAUGAAGGUUUUCGGAUUGUUAACUCCUUUUGUUAGAGAAGAUAAUGACGGUAUCUAACGAAUAAGCACUGGCUAACUCCGUGACAGCAGCCGCGGUAAUACGGAGGGUGCAAGCGUUACUCGGAAUCACUGGGCGUAAAGGGCGCGUAGGCGGGAUAGCAAGUCAGAUGUGAAAUCCUAUGGCUUAACCAUAGAACUGCAGUUGAAACUGUUAUUCUAGAGUAUGGGAGAGGUAGGUGGAAUUCUUGGUGUAGGGGUAAAAUGCGUAGAGAUCAAGAGGAAUACUCAUUGCGAAGGCAGUCUGCUAGAACAUAACUGACGCUGAUGCGCGAAAGCGUGGGGAGCAAACAGGAUUAGAUACCCCAGUAGUC